GAUGAACGCUGCGGCGUGCCUAAUACCUGCAAGUCGAGCGAACAGACGAGGAGCUUGCUCCUCUGACGUUAGCGGCGGACGGGUGAGUAACACGUGGAUAACCUACCUAUAAGACUGGGAUAACUUCGGGAAACCGGAGCUAAUACCGGAUAAUAUAUUGAACCGCAUGGUUCAAUAGUGAAAGACGGUUUUGCUGUCACUUAUAGAUGGAUCCGCGCCGCAUUAGCUAGUUGGUAAGGUAACGGCUUACCAAGGCAACGAUGCGUAGCCGACCUGAGAGGGUGAUCGGCCACACUGGAACUGAGACACGGUCCAGACUCCUACGGGAGGCAGCAGUAGGGAAUCUUCCGCAAUGGGCGAAAGCCUGACGGAGCAACGCCGCGUGAGUGAUGAAGGUCUUCGGAUCGUAAAACUCUGUUAUUAGGGAAGAACAAAUGUGUAAGUAACUAUGCACGUCUUGACGGUACCUAAUCAGAAAGCCACGGCUAACUACGUG
This 496-nucleotide ribosomal RNA is filed under the name uncultured bacterium. RNAcentral's name for it is "partial 16S ribosomal RNA". It matches the Rfam family "Bacterial small subunit ribosomal RNA", at positions 28 to 507 of the family's 1533-position model. The record is from RNAcentral.